AAAUGAAUAGACGGGGGCCCGCACAAGCGGUGGAGCAUGUGGUUUAAUUCGACGCAACGCGAAGAACCUUACCAGGGCUUGACAUCCUUAGGAGCUGGUGGAAACACCGGUGUGCCACCUUCGGGUGGAACUAAGAGACAGGUGGUGCAUGGUUGUCGUCAGCUCGUGUCGUGAGAUGUUGGGUUAAGUCCCGCAACGAGCGCAACCCCUACAUCUAGUUGCCAUCAGGUAAAGCUGGGCACUCUAGAAGAACUGCCGGUGACAAACCGGAGGAAGGUGGGGAUGACGUCAAAUCAUCAUGCCCUUUAUGUCCUGGGCUACACACGUGCUACAAUGGAUGGUACAGACGGAAGCGAAGCCGCGAGGUGAAGCAAAUCUGAGAAAGCCAUUCACAGUUCGGAUUGCAGGCUGCAACUCGCCUGCAUGAAGUCGGAAUCGCUAGUAAUCGCUGGUCAGCAUACAGCGGUGAAUACGUUCCCGGGCCUUGUACACACCGCCCGU
RNAcentral lists this ribosomal RNA (501 nucleotides) under uncultured bacterium. Its description in RNAcentral is "bacterial SSU rRNA". It matches the Rfam family "Bacterial small subunit ribosomal RNA", at positions 903 to 1397 of the family's 1533-position model. The record is from RNAcentral.